GAAAGGAUUGGAAGUGAACCUCGGAGAAACCCCUUUUGAAUGUACUUUUGUAUUAGGGUUUUUAAUGUACUGGGUUAGACUCUUGAUUAUUGUAUACUUUGGGAUUUGAUGUAACCUUUGAAAACUUGAUGUAAGGAUUGGAUACUUGACGUAUUUUGGAACUCGUGAUGUAAGUUUGAAUGUUAUUUAUGGGAGUGACCUCCCUUUCUUACUUAUAUCAUCGUGAUGGCCGGUAUUUCAUUAAGUUUGAACGGGAAUUGUCUUGAGUCCUGACGAGAGCUGGGCAGGCGUCCCGCGGAUACCCUUUGGUUCGCCUUAGGGAGAAGUGGGGGCGUCACAUAAUUCAACUUCCAUCAUUGAGAAAAGUGUAGGUGAAAUUGGUCCAAAAACAGAGCAAAGUUGAGAUUGAAGCUGAAAGUGCAAAACUGAGUACAAAGAAAAUCCAUGAGACACAUCCGCAAGGUGCAGGCAGGUUGUGGAUCCACCUUGCAGAUCUCUUAUUUGUAGCUGCAACUUGCUCUGCAACUUGCAUUUUGUUCACACCAACCUUUUGACCAAUUCUUCUACAAGAAAAACGACUGGAACCAGAUAAAAUUGAAUUGGAAAAGUAGAAAACAACUUUGUGUCUACAUUAUGAGAACAUCUUCUCAUCCAAAACAUCUAUAAAUACCCC
This 673-nucleotide long non-coding RNA is filed under the name Coffea arabica (coffee). RNAcentral's name for it is "long non-coding RNA (CARA_LNC001840)". The record is from RNAcentral. Lineage: Eukaryota; Viridiplantae; Streptophyta; Magnoliopsida; Gentianales; Rubiaceae.